UUUCUUAAAAUUUCAAAAUUUCUUCGUACGUUUUUUAAUCUAAAAAGAAACGAAAGUGGAAACUUGUGAAUUGGAAAGAUUUGGUUUCGAAGAUAGAGAGGAGAGGAAGUUGUUUAUUGAAGAGGCGAAUAAGGAGGAGGAGACGAGGGAAACGGCACCGUUAUCGAUACUCAUUUCUUCAUGGAAAAAUGCUCGUCCGUUUUAAUACUCAACCGAUGCGCAAACCUUACUUAAGGGAAAUUAGUUUUUAAUUCUUAAUAUAGGGGACAUUUUAAAUAAGGAAUCGAGUAUCCAUAUCCGAGAAGCUUCGAUUUUAAGUAUCGUCAAUUAUAUUCGAUCUCGAGGUGAGAUGGGAUAAUGGAAGAUUUAAUCGGCCAUUCAUUAAUGUGAGAUCUGCGAUCACUCGUACGUGACUUUUGAUCUAAUUUUUGGAUUCUUGAAAAUGAUCACGAUCCGUGGAAUUUUCUUUUUUCUGCGUGGUGUAAUAAAUUAAUUGGAAUUGAGAUUCGAACAAAGAGAUAGAUCGAUUAUCGAUACAUCAGAUAUUCGUCACAAAGUUUUCUCAGACGUUAUUAUGAACCCGAGGAAAAGGAAUAAAAUCGAUGGAUUUUUAUGAUCACGCAAAUAGUUUACGAGGCUCUCGUGCCCCGGUAUCGAGGCACGUUCGAGCGAAUCGCGUUGCCGCAAUGCACCUAGCUCGGAUUCGCUCUCACGCGGCGCGCUUACUCGCCUGGAAAAUUAUCCAGUAACCCAGUGACACUGUGAGAAGUGGCGGAACCUUUCGUCAAUCGCUGCAUGUCGAUACGUGACGCCUCCAUUCCUUUCUCGAGAUCAUAGAUUUGAGAGAUUCUUUGUCGAAAGUUCUUCAUCGAAAAUCGUUCCAGCGAUCCAACUCUAUAGAACAGUCAAUGGAAAAGAAUGCCAAGAAAGAGAUUCUUUAUGGUCAUGAUAAAGUUGAUAUU
This 962-nucleotide long non-coding RNA is filed under the name Apis dorsata (giant honeybee). Its description in RNAcentral is "uncharacterized LOC116185320, transcript variant X2". Lineage: Eukaryota; Metazoa; Arthropoda; Insecta; Hymenoptera; Apidae. The record is from RNAcentral.